UGAGGAAUAUUGCGCAAUGGAGGCAACUCUGACGCAGCCAUGCCGCGUGCAGGAAGAAGGCGCUACGCGUUGUAAACUGCUUUUAACCGGGAAGAAACCCCCUUACGUGUAAGGGGUUGACGGUACCGGCGGAAUAAGCACCGGCUAACUUCGUGCCAGCAGCCGCGGUAAUACGAAGGGUGCAAGCGUUAUCCGGAUUCAUUGGGUUUAAAGGGUGCGUAGGCGGAGCGUUAAGUCAGUGGUGAAAUCC
This 250-nucleotide ribosomal RNA is filed under the name uncultured bacterium. RNAcentral describes it as "partial 16S ribosomal RNA". It matches the Rfam family "Bacterial small subunit ribosomal RNA", at positions 355 to 602 of the family's 1533-position model. The record is from RNAcentral.